GACGAACGCUGGCGGCGUGCUUAACACAUGCAAGUCGAACGGAAAGGCCCUGCUUUUGUGGGGUGCUCGAGUGGCGAACGGGUGAGUAACACGUGAGUAACCUGCCCUUGACUUUGGGAUAACUUCAGGAAACUGGGGCUAAUACUGGAUAGGAGCUCCUGCUGCAUGGUGGGGGUUGGAAAGUUUCGGCGGUUGGGGAUAGACUCGCGGCUUAUCAGCUUGUUGGUGGGGUAGUGGCUUACCAAGGCUUUGACGGGUAGCCGGCCUGAGAGGGUGACCGGCCACAUUGGGACUGAGAUACGGCCCAGACUCCUACGGGAGGCAGCAGUGGGGAAUAUUGCACAAUGGGCGGAAGCCUGAUGCAGCAACGCCGCGUGCGGGAUGACGGCCUUCGGGUUGUAAACCGCUUUCGCCUGUGACGAAGCGUGAGUGACGGUAAUGGGUAAAGAAGCACCGGCUAACUACGUG
RNAcentral lists this ribosomal RNA (468 nucleotides) under uncultured bacterium. RNAcentral's name for it is "partial 16S ribosomal RNA". It matches the Rfam family "Bacterial small subunit ribosomal RNA", at positions 28 to 507 of the family's 1533-position model. The record is from RNAcentral.